AGAUCCCUGCCUACCUGAGGUCUGCUGAAGGCAGAAAUGUAAAGAAAACAUUUCUCGUACUGCUGAAGACAUGAAAGGUAGGAUACAGAAUAUGAAAAAAGGCUUGGAUCUCCUCCACUGCUUCAGACACAACUGGUCUGUCUGCAAAUGAAGAGCUGCCCCUUCUUCUAGAAGGUCAAUACCAGAGGUGGUGGAGAGGGAUGAACCAGCUUCGGUCUGGCUGGGGUGGAGACGUGCUCCAAGUAUCAGAGAUAAAGAGCCUCAGUCUCUGAGGCUUACAGCAGUGCAACUCAUCACUUAAAAGGCUUCCAGAGGAAAGCAGGUGUCAGGUUGGUCCCUAGGAACCAAGCAGGGGUUCCCCUUCACUUGUGAGCAAAAGGGAUUUCCACAUUUGAAAUACACAGAGAUGCCACAGCCUGACCACGAG
RNAcentral lists this long non-coding RNA (427 nucleotides) under Gallus gallus (chicken). RNAcentral's name for it is "lncRNA (ENSGALG00010012881.1)". The record is from RNAcentral. Lineage: Eukaryota; Metazoa; Chordata; Aves; Galliformes; Phasianidae.